GAUGAAGAACGUAGCGAAAUGCGAUAAGUAGUGUGAAUUGCAGAAUUCAGUGAAUCAUCGAAUCUUUGAACGCACAUUGCGCCCCUUGGUAUUCCAUGGGGCAUGCCUGUUCGAGCGUCAUUUGUACCUUCAAGCUUUGCUUGGUGUUGGGUGUUUGUCCUGAGGGACUCGCCUUAAAGUAAUUGGCAGCCAGUGUUUGGUUUUGAAGCGCAGCACAUGUCGCGAUUCAAGGCUAUACACCAGCUUCCACAAGCCUUUUUCACUUUUGACCUCGGAUCAGGUAGGGAUACCCGCUGAACUUAAGCAUAUCAAUAAGCGGAGGA
Molecule: unclassified non-coding RNA, 323 nt
Filed under: soil metagenome
Description: partial contains 5.8S ribosomal RNA, internal transcribed spacer 2, and large subunit ribosomal RNA
Rfam family: 5.8S ribosomal RNA (bases 1-120)
Source: RNAcentral